AACGAACGCUGGCGGCAGGCUUAACACAUGCAAGUCGCACGAGAAAGGGAGCAAUCCCCGGUAAAGUGGCGCACGGGUGAGUAACACGUGGAUAAUCUUCCCUCGAGCGGGGGAUAACCUUCCGAAAGGAGGGCUAAUACCGCAUAAGACCACGGCCAGUACGCUGGCUGAGGUCAAAGCUGGCCUCUUCAUGAAAGCUAGCACUCGAGGAUGAGUCCGCGGCCCAUCAGGUAGUUGGCGGGGUAAUGGCCCACCAAGCCGAAGACGGGUAGCUGGUCUGAGAGGAUGAUCAGCCACACUGGAACUGAGACACGGUCCAGACUCCUACGGGAGGCAGCAGUGGGGAAUCUUGCGCAAUGGGCGAAAGCCUGACGCAGCGACGCCGCGUGGGUGAUGAAGGCCUCGGGUUGUAAGCCUCGUGGGGAGGGACGGAAGU
RNAcentral lists this ribosomal RNA (436 nucleotides) under uncultured bacterium. Its description in RNAcentral is "bacterial SSU rRNA". It matches the Rfam family "Bacterial small subunit ribosomal RNA", at positions 29 to 452 of the family's 1533-position model. The record is from RNAcentral.